GACGGAGGGUGCUAGCGUUGUUCGGAAUUACUGGGCGUAAAGGGCGCGUAGGCGGCCCUGUCAGUCGGGUGUGAAAGCCCCGGGCUCAACCUGGGAAUGGCGAUGGAUACUGGCUCCCUAGAGUGCGGUAGAGGAGAGUGGAAUUCCCGGUGUAGCAGUGAAAUGCGUAGAGAUCGGGAGGAACAUCAGUUGCGAAGGCGGCUCUCUGGACCAGCACUGACACUGGGGCACGAAAGCGUGGGGAGCAAACAGG
This 253-nucleotide ribosomal RNA is filed under the name uncultured bacterium. Its description in RNAcentral is "partial 16S ribosomal RNA". It matches the Rfam family "Bacterial small subunit ribosomal RNA", at positions 524 to 776 of the family's 1533-position model. The record is from RNAcentral.